This 301-nucleotide ribosomal RNA is filed under the name uncultured bacterium. Its description in RNAcentral is "partial 16S ribosomal RNA". It matches the Rfam family "Bacterial small subunit ribosomal RNA", at positions 510 to 808 of the family's 1533-position model. The record is from RNAcentral.
CGUCGCCGCGGGAAUACGUAGGGUGCAAGCGUUAAUCGGAAUUACUGGGCGUAAAGCGUGCGCAGGCGGUUGUGUAAGACAGGUGUGAAAUCCCCGGGCUUAACCUGGGAACUGCGCUUGUGACUGCACAGCUUGAGUAUGGCAGAGGGGGGUGGAAUUCCACGUGUAGCAGUGAAAUGCGUAGAGAUGUGGAGGAACACCGAUGGCGAAGGCAGCCCCCUGGGCCAAUACUGACGCUCAUGCACGAAAGCGUGGGGAGCAAACAGGAUUAGAUACCCCUGUAGUCCCUGUCUCUUAUACC